Molecule: transfer RNA, 73 nt
Filed under: Apaloderma vittatum (bar-tailed trogon)
Lineage: Eukaryota; Metazoa; Chordata; Aves; Trogoniformes; Trogonidae
Rfam family: tRNA
About the family: Transfer RNA (tRNA) molecules are approximately 80 nucleotides in length. Their secondary structure includes four short double-helical elements and three loops (D, anti-codon, and T loops).
Source: Rfam by way of RNAcentral
GGCCGGUUAGCUCAGUCGGUUGAGUGUGGUGCUGAUAACAUCAAGGUUGCGGGUUCGAUUCCCAUUCAGUCCC